Molecule: ribosomal RNA, 562 nt
Filed under: Bos taurus (domestic cattle)
Lineage: Eukaryota; Metazoa; Chordata; Mammalia; Artiodactyla; Bovidae
Description: partial 16S ribosomal RNA
Rfam family: Bacterial large subunit ribosomal RNA
Source: RNAcentral
AAACAUCACCUCCAGCAUUCCCAGUAUUGGAGGCAUUGCCUGCCCAGUGACAACUGUUUAACGGCCGCGGUAUCCUGACCGUGCAAAGGUAGCAUAAUCAUUUGUUCUCUAAAUAAGGACUUGUAUGAAUGGCCGCACGAGGGUUUUACUGUCUCUUACUUCCAAUCAGUGAAAUUGACCUUCCCGUGAAGAGGCGGGAAUGCACAAAUAAGACGAGAAGACCCUAUGGAGCUUUAACUAACCAACCCAAAGAGAAUAGAUUUAACCAUUAAGGAAUAACAACAAUCUCCAUGAGUUGGUAGUUUCGGUUGGGGUGACCUCGGAGAAUAAAAAAUCCUCCGAGCGAUUUUAAAGACUAGACCCACAAGUCAAAUCACUCUAUCGCUCAUUGAUCCAAAAACUUGAUCAACGGAACAAGUUACCCUAGGGAUAACAGCGCAAUCCUAUUCAAGAGUCCAUAUCGACAAUAGGGUUUACGACCUCGAUGUUGGAUCAGGACAUCCUGAUGGUGCAACCGCUAUCAAAGGUUCGUUUGUUCAACGAUUAAAGUCCUACAUGAUCU